This 253-nucleotide ribosomal RNA is filed under the name uncultured bacterium. RNAcentral describes it as "partial 16S ribosomal RNA". It matches the Rfam family "Bacterial small subunit ribosomal RNA", at positions 524 to 776 of the family's 1533-position model. The record is from RNAcentral.
GACGAACCGUGCAAACGUUGUUCGGAAUCACUGGGCUUAAAGGGCGCGUAGGCGGGCAGGCAAGUCGAAGGUGAAAUCCCACGGCUCAACCGUGGGAGUGCCCCCGAUACUGCCUGUCUCGAGGGAGAUAGGGGCGUGCGGAACUUCCGGUGGAGCGGUGAAAUGCGUAGAUAUCGGGAGGAACACCGGUGGCGAAGGCGGUUCUCUGGGCCUUACCUGACGCUGAAGCGCGACAGCGUGGGGAGCAAACAGG